RNAcentral lists this ribosomal RNA (497 nucleotides) under uncultured bacterium. RNAcentral's name for it is "partial 16S ribosomal RNA". It matches the Rfam family "Bacterial small subunit ribosomal RNA", at positions 28 to 507 of the family's 1533-position model. The record is from RNAcentral.
GAUGAACGCUGGCGGCGUGCCUAAUACAUGCAAGUCGAGCGAACAGAUGAGGAGCUUGCUCCUCUGACGUUAGCGGCGGACGGGUGAGUAACACGUGGAUAACCUACCUAUAAGACUGAGAUAACUUCGGGAAACCGGAGCUAAUACCGGAUAAUAUAUUGAACCGCAUGGUUCAAUAGUGAAAGACGGUUUUGCUGUCACUUAUAGAUGGAUCCGCGCCGCAUUAGCUAGUUGGUAAGGUAACGGCUUACCAAGGCAACGAUGCGUAGCCGACCUGAGAGGGUGAUCGGCCACACUGGAACUGAGACACGGUCCAGACUCCUACGGGAGGCAGCAGUAGGGAAUCUUCUGCAAUGGGCGAAAGCCUGACGGAGCAACGCCGCGUGAGUGAUGAAGGUCUUCGGAUCGUAAAACUCUGUUAUUAGGGAAGAACAAAUGUGUAAGUAACUAUGCACGUCUUGACGGUACCUAAUCAGAAAGCCACGGCUAACUACGUG